AUUGAACGCUGGCGGCAUGCCUUACACAUGCAAGUCGAACGGUAACGGGCCUUCGGGUGCCGACGAGUGGCGCACGGGUGAGUAAUACAUCGGAACGUGCCCGAUCGUGGGGGAUAACGAGGCGAAAGCUUUGCUAAUACCGCAUACGAUCUACGGAUGAAAGCAGGGGACCGCAAGGCCUUGCGCGGACGGAGCGGCCGAUGGCAGAUUAGGUAGUUGGUGGGAUAAAAGCUUACCAGGCCGACGAUCUGUAGCUGGUCUGAGAGGAUGAUCAGCCACACUGGGACUGAGACACGGCCCAGACUCCUACGGGAGGCAGCAGUGGGGAAUUUUGGACAAUGGGCGCAAGCCUGAUCCAGCCAUGCCGCGUGCAGGAUGAAGGCCUUCGGGUUGUAAACUGCUUUUGUACGGAACGAAAAGCCUUCUUUUAAUACAGGAGGGUCAUGACGGUACCGGAAGAAUAAGCACCGGCUAACUACGUG
Molecule: ribosomal RNA, 482 nt
Filed under: uncultured bacterium
Lineage: Bacteria
Description: partial 16S ribosomal RNA
Rfam family: Bacterial small subunit ribosomal RNA
Source: RNAcentral